UACGUAGGUGGCGAGCGUUGUCCGGAUUUACUGGGCGUAAAGGGAGCGUAGGCGGAUUUUUAAGUGAGAUGUGAAAUACUCGGGCUCAACUUGAGUGCUGCAUUUCAAACUGGAAGUCUAGAGUGCAGGAGAGGAGAAUGGAAUUCCUAGUGUAGCGGUGAAAUGCGUAGAGAUUAGGAAGAACACCAGUGGCGAAGGCGAUUCUCUGGACUGUAACUGACACUGAGGCUCGAAAGCGUGGGGAGCAAACAGG
This 253-nucleotide ribosomal RNA is filed under the name uncultured bacterium. RNAcentral describes it as "partial 16S ribosomal RNA". It matches the Rfam family "Bacterial small subunit ribosomal RNA", at positions 524 to 776 of the family's 1533-position model. The record is from RNAcentral.